This 401-nucleotide ribosomal RNA is filed under the name uncultured microorganism. RNAcentral describes it as "bacterial SSU rRNA". It matches the Rfam family "Bacterial small subunit ribosomal RNA", at positions 9 to 407 of the family's 1533-position model. The record is from RNAcentral.
GAGUUUGAUCAUGGCUCAGAUUGAACGCCGGCGGCAUGCCUUACACAUGCAAGUCGAACGGCAGCAUGAUCUAGCUUGCUAGAUUGAUGGCGAGUGGCGAACGGGUGAGUAAUACAUCGGAACGUGCCCUGUAGUGGGGGAUAACUAGUCGAAAGAUUAGCUAAUACCGCAUACGACCUGAGGGUGAAAGUGGGGGACCGCAAGGCCUCAUGCUAUAGGAGCGGCCGAUGUCUGAUUAGCUAGUUGGUGGGGUAAAGGCCCACCAAGGCGACGAUCAGUAGCUGGUCUGAGAGGACGAUCAGCCACACUGGGACUGAGACACGGCCCAGACUCCUACGGGAGGCAGCAGUGGGGAAUUUUGGACAAUGGGCGAAGCCUGAUCCAGCAAUGCCGCGUGUGUG